Molecule: ribosomal RNA, 429 nt
Filed under: Verrucomicrobiota bacterium
Lineage: Bacteria; Pseudomonadati; Verrucomicrobiota
Description: Verrucomicrobia bacterium partial 16S ribosomal RNA
Rfam family: Bacterial small subunit ribosomal RNA
Source: RNAcentral
UGGGGAAUAUUGCACAAUGGGGGAAACCCUGAUGCAGCGACGCCGCGUGAGCGAUGAAGGCUUUCGAGUCGUAAAGCUCUGUUAAUCGGGACGAAUGGUUUGUGUGCAAAUAGUGCAUAGACAUGACGGUACCGGAAUAGAAAGCCACGGCUAACUACGUGCCAGCAGCCGCGGUAAUACGUAGGUGGCAAGCGUUGUCCGGAAUUAUUGGGCGUAAAGCGCGCGCAGGCGGACUAGCCAGUCAGUCUUAAAAGUUCGGGGCUUAACCCCGUGAUGGGAUUGAAACUACUAGUCUAGAGUAUCGGAGAGGAAAGUGGAAUUCCUAGUGUAGCGGUGAAAUGCGUAGAUAUUAGGAAGAACACCAGUGGCGAAGGCGACUUUCUGGACGAACACUGACGCUGAGGCGCGAAAGCCAGGGGAGCGAACGGG